Molecule: ribosomal RNA, 253 nt
Filed under: uncultured bacterium
Lineage: Bacteria
Description: partial 16S ribosomal RNA
Rfam family: Bacterial small subunit ribosomal RNA
Source: RNAcentral
UACGGAGGGUGCGAGCGUUGUCCGGAAUCACUGGGCGUAAAGGGCGCGUAGGCGGCCUGAUAAGUAGGGGGUGAAAUCCUGCGGCUUAACCGCAGGGCUGCCUUCUAAACUGUCAGGCUCGAGCACAGUAGAGGCAGGUGGAAUUCCCGGUGUAGCGGUGGAAUGCGUAGAGAUCGGGAAGAACAUCAGUGGCGAAGGCGGCCUGCUGGGCUGUUGCUGACGCUGAGACGCGAAAGCGUGGGGAGCGAACCGG